This 468-nucleotide ribosomal RNA is filed under the name uncultured bacterium. Its description in RNAcentral is "partial 16S ribosomal RNA". It matches the Rfam family "Bacterial small subunit ribosomal RNA", at positions 28 to 507 of the family's 1533-position model. The record is from RNAcentral.
GACGAACGCUGGCGGCGUGCUUAACACAUGCAAGUCGAACGGAAAGGCCCUGCUUUUGUGGGGUGCUCGAGUGGCGAACGGGUGAGUAACACGUGAGUAACCUGCCCUUGACUUUGGGAUAACUUCAGGAAACUGGGGCUAAUACCGGAUAGGAGCUCCUGCUGCAUGGUGGGGGUUGGAAAGUUUCGGCGGUUGGGGAUGGACUCGCGGCUUAUCAGCUUGUUGGUGGGGUAGUGGCUUACCAAGGCUUUGACGGGUAGCCGGCCUGAGAGGGUGACCGGCCACCAUGGGACUGAGAUACGGCCCAGAAUCCUACGGUAGGCAGCAGUGGGGAAUAUUGCACAAUGGGCGGAAGCCUGAUGCAGCAACGCCGCGUGCGGGAUGACGGCCUUCGGGUUGUAAACCGCUUUCGACUGUGCCGAAGCGUGAGUGACGGUAAUGGGUAAAGAAGCACCGGCUAACUACGUG